RNAcentral lists this ribosomal RNA (253 nucleotides) under uncultured bacterium. RNAcentral's name for it is "partial 16S ribosomal RNA". It matches the Rfam family "Bacterial small subunit ribosomal RNA", at positions 524 to 776 of the family's 1533-position model. The record is from RNAcentral.
UACAGAGGUCCCGAGCGUUGUUCGGAUUCACUGGGCGUAAAGGGUGCGUAGGUGGUGAGGUAAGUCGGAUGUGAAAUCUCCGAGCUCAACUCGGAAAUGGCAUUGGAAACUACCUUGCUCGAGGGUUGGAGGGGGGACUGGAAUACUUGGUGUAGCAGUGAAAUGCGUAGAUAUCAAGUGGAACACCAGUGGCGAAGGCGACUCUCUGGUCUGUAACUGACGCUGAGGCGCGAAAGCGUGGGGAGCAAACAGG